RNAcentral lists this small RNA (586 nucleotides) under Alternaria infectoria. Its description in RNAcentral is "eukaryotic LSU rRNA". The stretch from base 251 to 404 matches the Rfam family "5.8S ribosomal RNA". The record is from RNAcentral. Lineage: Eukaryota; Fungi; Ascomycota; Dothideomycetes; Pleosporales; Pleosporaceae.
GAGGAAGUAAAAGUCGUAACAAGGUCUCCGUAGGUGAACCUGCGGAGGGAUCAUUACACAAUAACAAGGCGGGCUGGACACCCCCCGCUGGGCACUGCUUCACGGCGUGCGCGGCGGGGCCGGCCCUGCUGAAUUAUUCACCCGUGUCUUUUGCGUACUUCUUGUUUCCUGGGUGGGCUCGCCCGCCCUCAGGACCAACCACAAACCUUUUGCAAUAGCAAUCAGCGUCAGUAACAACGUAAUUAAUUACAACUUUCAACAACGGAUCUCUUGGUUCUGGCAUCGAUGAAGAACGCAGCGAAAUGCGAUACGUAGUGUGAAUUGCAGAAUUCAGUGAAUCAUCGAAUCUUUGAACGCACAUUGCGCCCUUUGGUAUUCCAAAGGGCAUGCCUGUUCGAGCGUCAUUUGUACCCUCAAGCUUUGCUUGGUGUUGGGCGUCUUUUGUCUCCAGUUCGCUGGAGACUCGCCUUAAAGUCAUUGGCAGCCGGCCUACUGGUUUCGGAGCGCAGCACAAGUCGCGCUCUUCGCCAGCCAAGGUCAGCGUCCAGCAAGCCUUUUUUUCAACCUUGACCUCGGAUCAGUAGGA